CUAACUUAAAUAACCAGAAACUAUUGAAAAUAACCGAAUAAUUGUAUGUUUAUAGAUUAUAUCAAUAGAGACACAUAUGUGUUAUAUUAUUGGAGACAAAAGAUAACCGACUACUAACUUAAAUAACCAUCAACUACUUGAGAUAACCGGAUAACUGGUAUACAUUAUAAGUUUGGUAUACAAUGUAGCCAAAUAAAUACAUUGCAUUUGUAAUUAUGAUACUUCAUGUGUUUGUUUGCGUAACCGGCUAACUAUAACAAAAAACGAUGAAUAGAAUCUAUUAGCCGGUUAUUUCACAAAUUACAUCAUUAAAGAAAAGUGGAAUUUUUUUCAAUAACUAUGGUAACAACUAAGAAGAAGAACACGACUCGAGUACUUUACCCUUAACUAACUCUGUCUUCUGAACUGACCCACCGGAGAUGGUACUUGGCGACGGUAAUGCAGAUGGAUGGUGAUGGUUAGAAAGUAAGCAUUUGUUGGAGUAUGAAGUGAAAAAGAGCUUUGUUUUACCAUAAACCUAAGAAACUGAUGGAGAGCAAUGGAAGAGACGACAGGUUCUAAGUUCAUGAUCCCAAGCGAUCCUUGAUUGUUCCUUUUGGGAACAGCUCUUGCAUGUGGAAACAAAAAUGACUCACCCGCUUCUUCCAAAGACGAGUUCACACACACGCUGCCGUACCACGAAUGUGAACACUUUGAAGAGAGACAAAAGUUUUUGGAUUGAAUUGAAUUUCUUUUACAAAAGAAACUGAGAAUUAUUGAACAUGCAAAGAAGA
RNAcentral lists this long non-coding RNA (773 nucleotides) under Brassica rapa (field mustard). RNAcentral's name for it is "long non-coding RNA (BRAP_LNC004388)". Lineage: Eukaryota; Viridiplantae; Streptophyta; Magnoliopsida; Brassicales; Brassicaceae. The record is from RNAcentral.